AACGAACGCUGGCGGCGCGCCUAAUACAUGCAAGUCGAGCGAGAAGACGUAGCAAUACGUUUGUAAAGCGGCGAACGGGUGAGGAAUACAUGGGUAACCUACCCUCGAGUGGGGAAUAACUAGCCGAAAGGUUAGCUAAUACCGCGUACGCUCCUUGGACUUCGGUUCAGGGAGGAAAGCGAUACCGUGGGUAUCGCGCUCUUGGAUGGGCUCAUGUCCUAUCAGCUUGUUGGUGAGGAACGGCUCACCAAGGCUUCGACGGGUAGCUGGUCUGAGAGGACGAUCAGCCACACUGGCACUGCGACACGGGCCAGACUCCUACGGGAGGCAGCAGUAAGGAAUAUUGCGCAAUGGGCGAAAGCCUGACGCAGCGACGCCGCGUGGGGGNGG
This 390-nucleotide ribosomal RNA is filed under the name uncultured bacterium. Its description in RNAcentral is "bacterial SSU rRNA". It matches the Rfam family "Bacterial small subunit ribosomal RNA", at positions 29 to 410 of the family's 1533-position model. The record is from RNAcentral.